Molecule: ribosomal RNA, 386 nt
Filed under: uncultured soil bacterium
Lineage: Bacteria
Description: bacterial SSU rRNA
Rfam family: Bacterial small subunit ribosomal RNA
Source: RNAcentral
AGAACGAACGCUGGCGGCAUGCCUAAUACAUGCAAGUCGAACGAACUCUUCGGAGUUAGUGGCGCACGGGUGCGUAACGCGUGGGAAUCUGCCCUUGGGUUCGGAAUAACAGUUGGAAACGACUGCUAAUACCGGAUGAUGACGAAAGUCCAAAGAUUUAUCGCCCAGGGAUGAGCCCGCGUAGGAUUAGCCAGUUGGUGAGGUAAUGGCUCACCAAGGCGACGAUCCGUAGCUGGUCUGAGAGGAUGAUCAGCCACACUGGAACUGAGACACGGUCCAGACUCCUACGGGAGCAGCAGUGGGGAAUAUUGGACAAUGGGCGCAAGCCUGAUCCAGCCAUACCGCGUGGGUGAAGAAGGCCUUCGGGGUUGUAAAGCCCGUUUGUU